GCCAGUGUAGCUUAACAUAAAGCAUAGCACUGAAGAUGCUAAGAUGAGCCCUAGAAAGUUCCACAGGCA
This 69-nucleotide transfer RNA is filed under the name Plesiomyzon baotingensis (Hainan sucker-belly loach). Its description in RNAcentral is "tRNA-Phe". It matches the Rfam family "tRNA". Rfam says of the family: Transfer RNA (tRNA) molecules are approximately 80 nucleotides in length. Their secondary structure includes four short double-helical elements and three loops (D, anti-codon, and T loops). Lineage: Eukaryota; Metazoa; Chordata; Actinopteri; Cypriniformes; Gastromyzontidae. The record is from RNAcentral.